GCAGGGGCGCAGCUACCAUGCAGUCGAGCGGAACGAUGGAAGCUUGCUUCCAGGCGUCGAGCGGCGGACGGGUGAGUAAUGCAUAGGAAUCUGCCCGAUAGUGGGGGAUAACCUGGGGAAACCCAGGCUAAUACCGCAUACGUCCUACGGGAGAAAGCAGGGGAUCUUCGGACCUUGCGCUAUCGGAUGAGCCUAUGUCGGAUUAGCUAGUUGGUGAGGUAACGGCUCACCAAGGCCGCGAUCCGUAGCUGGUCUGAGAGGAUGAUCAGCCACAUCGGGACUGAGACACGGCCCGAACUCCUACGGGAGGCAGCAGUGGGGAAUAUUGGACAAUGGGCGAAAGCCUGAUCCAGCCAUGCCGCGUGUGUGAAGAAGGCUUUCGGGUUGUAAAGCACUUUCAGUGGGGAAGAAAUCCUCGGGGCCAAUACCCUCGAGGGAGGACAUCACCCACAGAAGAAGCACCGGCUAACUCCGUGCCAGCAGCCGCGGUAAUACGGAGGGUGCGAGCGUUAAUCGGAAUUACUGGGCGUAAAGCGCGCGUAGGCGGCGUGAUAAGCCGGUUGUGAAAGCCCCGGGCUCAACCUGGGAACGGCAUCCGGAACUGUCAGGCUAGAGUGCAGGAGAGGAAGGUAGAAUUCCCGGUGUAGCGGUGAAAUGCGUAGAGAUCGGGAGGAAUACCAGUGGCGAAGGCGGCCUUCUGGACUGACACUGACGCUGAGGUGCGAAAGCGUGGGUAGCAAACAGGAUUAGAUACCCUGGUAGUCCACGCCGUAAACGAUGUCGACUAGCCGUUGGGGUCCUUGUGAUCUUUGUGGCGCAGUUAACGCGAUAAGUCGACCGCCUGGGGAGUACGGCCGCAAGGUUAAAACUCAAAUGAAUUGACGGGGGCCCGCACAAGCGGUGGAGCAUGUGGUUUAAUUCGAUGCAACGCGAAGAACCUUACCUACUCUUGACAUCGUGCGAACUUUCCAGAGAUGGAUUGGUGCCUUCGGGAACGCACAGACAGGUGCUGCAUGGCCGUCGUCAGCUCGUGUUGUGAAAUGUUGGGUUAAGUCCCGUAACGAGCGCAACCCUUGUCCCUAUUUGCCAGCGAUUCGGUCGGGAACUCUAGGGAGACUGCCGGUGACAAACCGGAGGAAGGUGGGGACGACGUCAGGUCAUCAUGGCCCUUACGAGUAGGGCUACACACGUGCUACAAUGGCCGGUACAAAGGGUUGCGAAGCCGCGAGGUGGAGCUAAUCCCGAAAAGCCGGUCUCAGUCCGGAUCGGAGUCUGCAACUCGACUCCGUGAAGUCGGAAUCGCUAGUAAUCGUGAAUCAGAAUGUCACGGUGAAUACGUUCCCGGGCCUUGUACACACCGCCCGUCACACCAUGGGAGUGGACUGCACCAGAAGUGGUUAGCCUAACUUCGGAGGGCGAUCACCACGGUGUACGU
RNAcentral lists this ribosomal RNA (1435 nucleotides) under Halomonas sp. X17. RNAcentral's name for it is "bacterial SSU rRNA". It matches the Rfam family "Bacterial small subunit ribosomal RNA". The record is from RNAcentral. Lineage: Bacteria; Pseudomonadati; Pseudomonadota; Gammaproteobacteria; Oceanospirillales; Halomonadaceae.